GAUUAAGUUAUUAAGGGCGCACGGUGGAUGCCUUGGCACUAGAAGCCGAUGAAGGACGUUACUAACGACGAUAUGCUUUGGGGAGCUGUAAGUAAGCUUUGAUCCAGAGAUUUCCGAAUGGGGAAACCCAGCAUGAGUUAUGUCAUGUUAUCGAUAUGUGAAUACAUAGCAUAUCAGAAGGCACACCCGGAGAACUGAAACAUCUUAGUACCCGGAGGAAGAGAAAGAAAAUUCGAUUCCCUUAGUAGCGGCGAGCGAAACGGGAAGAGCCCAAACCAACAAGCUUGCUUGUUGGGGUUGUAGGACACUCUAUACGGAGUUACAAAGGACGACAUUAGACGAAUCAUCUGGAAAGAUGAAUCAAAGAAGGUAAUAAUCCUGUAGUCGAAAAUGUUGUCUCUCUUGAGUGGAUCCUGAGUACGACGGAGCACGUGAAAUUCCGUCGGAAUCUGGGAGGACCAUCUCCUAAGGCUAAAUACUCUCUAGUGACCGAUAGUGAACCAGUACCGUGAGGGAAAGGUGAAAAGCACCCCGGAAGGGGAGUGAAAUAGAACCUGAAACCGUGUGCUUACAAGUAGUCAGAGCCCGUUAAUGGGUGAUGGCGUGCCUUUUGUAGAAUGAACCGGCGAGUUACGAUUUGAUGCAAGGUUAAGCAGUAAAUGUGGAGCCGUAGCGAAAGCGAGUCUGAAUAGGGCGUUUAGUAUUUGGUCGUAGACCCGAAACCAGGUGAUCUACCCUUGGUCAGGUUGAAGUUCAGGUAACACUGAAUGGAGGACCGAACCGACUUACGUUGAAAAGUGAGCGGAUGAACUGAGGGUAGCGGAGAAAUUCCAAUCGAACCUGGAGAUAGCUGGUUCUCUCCGAAAUAGCUUUAGGGCUAGCCUCAAGUGAUGAUUAUUGGAGGUAGAGCACUGUUUGGACGAGGGGCCCCUCUCGGGUUACCGAAUUCAGACAAACUCCGAAUGCCAAUUAAUUUAACUUGGGAGUCAGAACAUGGGUGAUAAGGUCCGUGUUCGAAAGGGAAACAGCCCAGACCACCAGCUAAGGUCCCAAAAUAUAUGUUAAGUGGAAAAGGAUGUGGCGUUGCCCAGACAACUAGGAUGUUGGCUUAGAAGCAGCCAUCAUUUAAAGAGUGCGUAAUAGCUCACUAGUCGAGUGACACUGCGCCGAAAAUGUACCGGGGCUAAACAUAUUACCGAAGCUGUGGAUUGUCCUUUGGACAAUGGUAGGAGAGCGUUCUAAGGGCGUUGAAGCAUGAUCGUAAGGACAUGUGGAGCGCUUAGAAGUGAGAAUGCCGGUGUGAGUAGCGAAAGACGGGUGAGAAUCCCGUCCACCGAUUGACUAAGGUUUCCAGAGGAAGGCUCGUCCGCUCUGGGUUAGUCGGGUCCUAAGCUGAGGCCGACAGGCGUAGGCGAUGGAUAACAGGUUGAUAUUCCUGUACCACCUAUAAUCGUUUUAAUCGAUGGGGGGACGCAGUAGGAUAGGCGAAGCGUGCG
This 1496-nucleotide ribosomal RNA is filed under the name Staphylococcus aureus. RNAcentral's name for it is "partial 23S ribosomal RNA". It matches the Rfam family "Bacterial large subunit ribosomal RNA", at positions 1 to 1497 of the family's 2925-position model. Lineage: Bacteria; Bacillati; Bacillota; Bacilli; Caryophanales; Staphylococcaceae. The record is from RNAcentral.